UUUGAUCCUGGCUCAGAUUGAACGCUGGCGGAUGCUUUACAUGGCGUAAGUCGAACGGGCAGCACGGACUUCUCGGUCUGGUAUGAGUGGUGAACGGGUGAGUGGUCGUAUCGGAACGUGCCUAGUGGAUAACUCCAUGAGCAGAAGCAUUACCGCAUACGCCUCGGGGAAAGCGGGGGACCUUCGGGCCUCGCACUAUUGAGCGGCCGAUAUCGGAUUAGCUAGUUGGUGGGGUAACGGCUCACCAUGACGAUCCGUAGCUGGUUUGAGAGGACGACCAGCCACACUGGGACUGAGACACGGCCCAGACUCCUACGGGAGGCAGCAGUGGGGAAUUUUGACAAUGGGGAAACCCUGAUCCAGCCAUCCCGCGUGUGCGAUGAAGGCCUUCGGGUUGUAAAGCACUUUUUGGCAGGAAGUGAAACGGCAGCACGGGAUAAUACCCCUGUGCAACUGACGGUACCUGCAGAAUAAGCACCGGCUAACUACGCCGCCAGCAGCCGCGGUAAUACGUAGGUGCAAGCGUUAAUCGGAAUUACUGGGCGUAAAAGCGUGCGCAGGUUCGGAAAGAAAGAUGAAAUCCCCAGAGCUUAACUUUGGAACUGCAUUUUUAACUACCGAGCUAGGAGUGUGUCAGAGGGAGGUGGAAUCCGCGUAGCAGUGAAAUGCGUAGAUAUGCGGAGAACACCGAUGGCGAAGGCAGCCUCCUGGGAUAACACUGACGCUCAUGCACGAAAGCGUGGGGAGCAAACAGGAUUAGAUACCCGUAUUCACGCUCAAACGGGAUGUCAAUUCAGCUGUUGGGGCCUUCGGGCCUUUGGUAGGCAGCUAGUAAGGACCGUCUGGGGGACAUAUUCGCAAGAUUAAAACAAGGAAUUGACGGGGACCCGCACAAGCGGUGGAUGAUGUGAUUAAUUCGAUGUAACGCGAAAAAACCUUACCUACCCUUGACAUGUCUGGAAUCCCGAAGAGAUUUGGGAGUGCUCGCAAGAGAACCGGAACACAGGUGCUGCAUGGCCGUCGUCAGCUCGUGUCGAGAUGCUGGGUUAAGUCCGCAACGAGCGCAACCUGGCUGGCUAUUGCUACGAAAGGGCAAUUUAAUGAGACUGCCGGUGACAAACCGGAGGAAGGUGGGGGGAUGUCAAGUCCUCAUGGCCCUUAUGGGUAGGGCUUCACACGUCAUACAAUGGUCGGGACAGAGGGUCGCCAACCCGCGAGGGGGGAGCCAAUCCCAGAAACCCGAUCGUAGUCCGGAUCGCAGUCUGUACUGACUGCGUGAAGUCGGAAUCGCUAGUAAUCGCGGAUCAGCAUGUCGUCGCGGUGAAUACGUUCCUGGGUCUUGUACACACCGCCCGUCACACCAUGGGAGUGGGUUUCACUGUAGAAGUAGUUAGCCUAACCGUAAGGAGGGCGAUUACCACGGAUCUAUGACUGGGGUGAAGUCGUAACAAGGUAG
This 1456-nucleotide ribosomal RNA is filed under the name uncultured Bordetella sp. Its description in RNAcentral is "partial 16S-23S ribosomal RNA intergenic spacer". It matches the Rfam family "Bacterial small subunit ribosomal RNA". The record is from RNAcentral. Lineage: Bacteria; Pseudomonadati; Pseudomonadota; Betaproteobacteria; Burkholderiales; Alcaligenaceae.